AUGAGCUCGGCUUUAGGAAAAGUCGUCUGGCAGAAGUGGACAGGAUGGAGUGGAGAAGGAAUACCGAGGAAGCCAGGAGACGGUCGCUUUGGUGCCACAGUAGUGAGCCUACCUCGCUUUGCAUUUUUGCUGCCAUCUAUCCAGGAUGUGUGCCCCAUGAGAACAGAAACUGCUGUUCAUUCACUCCUUUUUCCACAGUCCUCCUUCCCCCACCUAACAUCUUCCUCAUUCUGCAUAAGAGCAACAAUCAUUGUUAAUUGUAUUUAGCAAACUUCUGAAGUCCUGUUGAGUUUGGAAUGCCUGUGGGACAUCAAAGAAGGAGAGAUCUACCCAGAAGGAAUUACAGUAUUGGUGCUCAGGAGCAAAGCUGGAGCUGGGGCUCAGGAUUUGAGAGUUAUCUGAAGGGGUGUGAUGAUGAAAGCCAUGCACACAGAUGAGAGCCACAGAGAGAACAAGAACCUUGUGGAAUGCUCAUAUUUAAUAAUGAGAGAAAUAGGAACUGGGAGACACUGGAGUGAUCAGAAAAUCAUGAAGACUGCCAAGAGCUGAGGCCUUUCCAAAGGAAUUCUACCUGCUUACGUGUAGUGGAAAAACAACCAAGGCCAUUUUUUUAAAAAUUUCAGAUUUUUCUCCUUGCUCUUGUCCUAUUUGUCCCUGGCUUGUUUUCCCCUCCCCUGACUUUUGCCUUAGUUCCCUUCUAAAUCCCACCUUGCCACAUUCAGCUGCUUUCCCUCUCAGCGCCAUUAUUAAUGUUUUGGACAUAAUAUUCCCAUAGCCUCCUAAGGUGAUAAUUAAAGAGGUACGCAGAAAUGUACAUCCCAGGAUUGUUCAUGAAAGCCAAAAGCUGGAAACAAACUGGUUAUCUAUCCAGAAGUUAAAUGAUUUGUAGAACACCCGGGCCAUCCCAGUAGUUUAGUGGGAAGGGAGGAAAUUUCAUGACGUGUCUCCAGCCAGACACCGUAUUUAAAAUCAGACUCCCCCAUACAUUUAUACAAUUUGAGAAUAUUUCCAAACUUACUUCUCUAGCCUUGCCUCCUAAAAGCAAUAUUACUUGGGGGAACGUGUGAGCUUUCUUUGGUGAAUGUGUGGAUAUGAGCUAGAAUUCUGGUUUUCUGUUGAUAUGGCCUCGUUAGGAAGCUCUUCACUUAUGUUCUGAUUUACCCAUGACAGUCAUGAUCUUUCAUUUUCCACGGUAGGUGGGGCACCUGGGGAGAACCACUGGUGCUCUGCUGAGAGGACAAAGUGACACCUUAAGAGGGACAGCCCAGCCCAUGUUCACUGUUCUCUGAAAGUUCUCUGUGGGAAGAAAAAAUACAAAUCCAGUUGAUACUGGCAAUGUUUUUGUCUUUGACUCAUGGCCGUUGAAGCCUGCCAUUGCUUUAGAGUCUUCAUGAAUUUCUACUGUUGUGAAGGACUCACUGCCGACAGCUCUUACUAAAAAGCAGAACCCAACGGAAGCUUCAUGAAGCCUAGAGUGACAGAAGGAGGCAUGGUGGAUAUCUGGGUUCCCCAUUAUUGUCACGUUGGCUCUGGUGGUGGCUGCCUUUAAGGAAGAAGUAGCUUAAAAUGAAGAAAUGAAGAGUAGUACUGACAACAUUUGCUCCCAUCGGUUUGUGGACUUGUGGAGGAAGAUUCUGGCUUCCAGUGAAUGAUGAGAACAUUCUCCUGGUGGAUGCCUUUAGCUUGACAAAUGACAAAUACAUAUCCCAAGAGUCAUAUUUUGAGCUUAGUGCAACCAUAUGAGUGAAAUAUUUCAGCAAUUUUCUCCCUUUCCUUAAUUGUAUCUGUGUAAAGUUUGGAAUAAAAUAAUGGGCAAACUUUAAUGAAAAACUCA
Ursus maritimus (polar bear) is the source of this 1834-nucleotide long non-coding RNA. NCBI's taxonomy places the organism in Eukaryota, Metazoa, Chordata, Mammalia, Carnivora, Ursidae. The record is from Ensembl.